This 116-nucleotide ribosomal RNA is filed under the name Scophthalmus maximus (turbot). The record is from RNAcentral. Lineage: Eukaryota; Metazoa; Chordata; Actinopteri; Pleuronectiformes; Scophthalmidae.
GCACGGCAACACCGCUGGUUCACGCCCCGAUCUCGUUUGAUCUCGGAAGCUAAGAUAGGUUGGGCCUGGUUAGUACUUGGAUGGGAGACUGCCUGGGAAUCCAGGUGCUGUAAGCU